GGCUGGUCCGAAGGUAGUGCAUUAUCUCACUUGAUUGUUCACAGUCAGUUACAGAUUGAACUCCUUGUUCUACUACUUUCCCCCCUCCUCACUACUGCACUUGACUAGUCUACA
This 114-nucleotide Y RNA is filed under the name Prolemur simus (greater bamboo lemur). RNAcentral describes it as "Y RNA (ENSPSMG00000011740.1)". It matches the Rfam family "Y RNA". Rfam says of the family: Y RNAs are components of the Ro ribonucleoprotein particle (Ro RNP), in association with Ro60 and La proteins. The Y RNAs and Ro60 and La proteins are well conserved, but the function of the Ro RNP is not known. Lineage: Eukaryota; Metazoa; Chordata; Mammalia; Primates; Lemuridae. The record is from Rfam by way of RNAcentral.